Long non-coding RNA from Cavia porcellus (domestic guinea pig), 5648 nucleotides. RefSeq lists it as uncharacterized. Lineage: Eukaryota; Metazoa; Chordata; Mammalia; Rodentia; Caviidae. The record is from RefSeq and is a predicted model, not a curated record. The transcript has 2 exons.
GGGGAGGUCUGCGCUGUCUCUCUCUCCCUCUCUCUCUCUGUGUCUCUGUCUCUGUCUCUGUCUGUCUGUCUGUGUGUGUGUGUCUUUCUGUUAUCUGCCCCUCAGCCCCCGUCUCCCUGACUCUGUCUUCCCUUUCUCUCCGGUUUUUUUUUAAAACCCAUUCGGUGUCUUCCCAACACCUCAGUCGGGACGGGUGACAGCGGCUGGGUGUUUUUUGUUUGCUUGUGGUGUUGUCCAGCGUCCUUCCCUCACGCCCCUCACCAAGCGUGUGGUCUGUCGCUGUGGGCAUUGAGAACAAACUCGUUGACAUGUACUUACGUUCCGAUUUGGGAGUAUUAUGGAGUUUGCCCCCCCCCCCCCAGUUAAGUACUAACCAGGGUUUGUUAGCUUUGGCUAAUUUGGAGAAACCCAUGCAUGCCGCGCGGUCCGCUGCAGCCCCAGCCCAGUGUCCCUGGGUCCCCCACAGGCAGUGAGCCCUCCGGGUGCACUUGGUGUGACACUCGCGACAGGCUCGCCCUGUCACUUGGCUCCUCUGGAAUGGAACCUCGCUUCCCUGGUUCUCUCCUUGGAGUCAAGAAAACUUGCCGAGUGCCUCACCACCCACCACCGACCUCGGGGCAGGAGUGGGGAGUGGAAAAGGAAGGGGUCGUCCCUCCAGACGCUCACGACCCUGUGCCCUGCUCUGACCUCCACUUGAACUCACCGCUUGGACCUGCUUCAUUCUGCUGGCCAGCAAGCAGUCUUGUUUGCUCUCCCCUCCUGCCAGCCACCCAGCCUUACUAAGCAGUGAAGAGAAUUUUCACAGCAGCCUCUGCCUGGGAGAGACCUCCUGCCCAGAAUGGCCUUCCAUCUCUUGUUCACCCAGCAAAUUCUUGAUCAUCCUUCAAAACCUCAACUUGAUUGUUACCUCCUUGGCGAGUAAGUUCUUUCCUGAGGGCCUGUGUGUUGUAAUCAUCCGCCUGCAUGCCUCGCUCCACGUCGUUAAGAACAAUCUGUCCUAUUUCUGUGUGACCUGAUCUCCCACUGAUACAAAUGAAGCCUCAAACAGCCGUGAUGUCUCAACUUGCACCACUGCAUCAUCCGCACUGUGAGCAGAUUGAGCCCCUCAACUCCCUCCCUCCUUGCUGGGAGUCUUGGAGUGUCCCUGUAUGUCCUUUCCAUGUCCUCCUCCGAGGCUGCCCAUUGGACCCCCAAAGCUGCUUAAUUGCCUCAGUGAUUUCCUGACCAUGUUCUGUCCCUUGAAUCCUGCAGGACAAGUCUGUGAGGUGGGGGAAGUCAUUCCUUCUUAUCCUGGCUCUCCAUGCCAGCUUGUUGCUGUGUUACGGUCUCAUAAAGACCCCUUGCCUUCUUGACUCCUUUGCCAUCUUCUAGAAUGCCCCUUCCUCCUUAGGGCCCAGUCCUGGCCCAUGAGACCAGGAUGGAGAGAGAAGGAGGUGAGGCCCAGCCAGUCCUGAUACCUUGGGGACCACUUAGGAUACAAAGGUGCGCAGAGUUGUUGAAGGAUGAGUACAUGACUAUCAAGCAAGGGACAGCUUUCCAGGUGUGGCUUUCCUCAUCGCUGCAGGUCGAAUCACCCAGGGUGAUUGUGAGGGUCAGCUUACCACACUGGACAGAUUUAGGACAUUAAUAAGUACUUGGCAAAUUCCACUUUGAAGAGCAGAUGUUUGAUGCUUGAAUUUAAAAAAAAAAAGCCAGAAGAGGAAAAUUCUUCAGAGGGAAAUGGGAACCACAUUAACAGCAGAGAAUUAAAAUUAAGUAAGUUUGAUGCUCCGUGGUGGUUGCAAGGACACAGAAUUAUUUUAAAUUUCCAGUUUAUGGCUUCAACUGCAUUGCAGCCCUCCACUGCUGGGGAUCCGUCUCCCGGGGGAUGGGGCACAGAGAGACAGACAGCUGCUACCUGGGAAGCUGGAAUAAAGGAAGCAGGGGAGGAGGGGCUGGAAGAAGGAUCCCAGAAAAGAUUGGAGGAUGCCUAAGUGGGCAGAAGGACUUUCUACUGCGUUCUGUUGGUGACACACAGGGCAUUCCGAAUUGGCUGCAGUGCCAGUGGUAUGUACAGCUCACCUCCUCACCUACCACUCUUCCUCUAACUGGGCCUUAUCCCUCCGCCUCCUAUUCCUACUCCAUGCUUCAGUCCAUCUCUGCCCACAGGAGGGCUGGGAAUAGGUGAGUCCUGAAAUUUUCCAUGAGCCGGGGGCUGUUGCAAGCCCUUCAGGUUGCAGUUUCUUGCAGUGAGUGCUGUUGUCUUCCCCCUUUCAAGAGAUGAGGCAAGACAGGUUAAGUAACUUGCAGAGUUCACACAGCCAGCAGCAGAGGUGGGACUCCAGCCUGGGGAAUGGGAUUCCAUAGCCUUCCAUCCUAACCCGCUGCUACACUGCCUGCCAUUCACAGCCACUAAAAGUUUAAUUGUUUUGAUAGAUGCCAUCAGAAUGACACUGCAUUAAAACAGUGAAUCAGAAAGCCAGGGAGCCCCCCAGUGGCACCUGCCAUGAAUAUGUCUGUACCUUCCUCUUCCUUUGCAGUGCUCUUUCUCAGAAUUCUCCCUCUUCUUUUCCACUUUUUUUCCCCUCUUGCCUUAUCUUUUGUCUUAGUUUUCUUAAUCCACACCCAUGCCUUGGGCCCCUCAGGGGAGACUGUGUGCUUAACUGUGCCCUAAAACCUGAUAUUAGUUUCUCCCAGAUCUAACACAGCCCCAGCAACACUAAUAAUGAGCUGUGUUUUCAUAAGCAAGUUGCUUUCUCUCUCUGCCUGUUCCCAUACUGUAAAAAGAAAGAGUUGGACUGGGUGAAAAGGGAAAUUCUUUUACAGCUCUGCCAUUUUAUGAUUCUGGUGGCAACCAAGAGCAUUUAUUUGACUCAUCUGAGUAAAACUCAGAUGGAAGCUGGAGGAAUUUGGGGUCAGGAUGAUUGCAGCACUAAAAAAAAAAUCUAUAGUAGCAUCACAGGGUGGUUUGCUAUAAGAACAGUUUGCUAUCUUUCUCCUCUUUUUGUAGAGGGGCAGGGUGUGAUGAAACAGGAUCUUCUAUGUAGUUCAGAUUGGCCUUGAACUCACUGUUUAGCCCAGGCUGGCCUCAGACUUAUGGUGAUCCCUCUGCCUCAGCCUUCUGAAUGCUGGGCUUACAGGUGUGUGCCACCAUGCCCAGCAAAAAACGGCUUAGGCCAAUGUCAUUAUCUUAAGAUUCUGUGACUGAGCAACAUGCACUAGUGUCCUUCUAUAUGAAUGGGCAUUGCAACCCAGUAUUGUCAAAAAGCAAAGUUAUUACUGUGAAGUUUCUAAAAUGGUUCCCACUGACUCUGCCUCUUGAUUCAUGCCCCUUUGCAAGCCCUACCUGUCCCUGUGUUAAUCAGCUUUCUGUCAACAAAACAAAUACCCGAGAUAAUCACAAAGGUUUAUCUUGGCUCACUGCUUCCGUGGCUCGAGUCCACAGUUGGUUGGCUUCAUUGCUUCCAGGCUUGUGACGAGGGAGCACAUCAUGGCAUCAUGGUGGUGUAUAAUGGAGCAAAACUGCUCACGUGCCGACAGAGAUGAAGAGAUGAUGGUGGGGAGGGGCAGGGAUUUAGCUCAGUGGCACAAGCCCUUGCCUGGCGAGUGCAAGGUCAUGAGUUUGAUCCCCAGUACAAAAAAAAAAGGCAAGCAGGAAUCUUGUAGUCUCCUUCAGGGGUGCACCCCCAAUGAAUGAGGCCCCACCCUGAAAGAUCCCAACACCUUCCAAUACUACCAAUCUGGGGACUAAGCCUUCAAUGCACAGGACUUCUGGGAACAUUCUAGAUCUAAGCUACAGCAAGGAUGGCCUAGGCCUAGUGGCUCACUCCUAAUGAACCAAACUAACCACCAGUGGGAUGUCACCCCAAGAACCAAGUUACAAAAUGACUCUGACUUCUGUCCUCCUCCUCUGCCCACUUGCUUGGAUGACAUAAGUUUCCAUGUGUCGAGCGCCCCAUAGAGGCUCGCAUGGCAAGGAGCUGACAGCCUGCAAAGACUGAAGGGAGCUGAACGCUGCCACUGUCAUAUGAGUGAACUCGAAAGCCAGUUUUCCCCCAGCAGCAAGUCUCCAGAAGACACCAGCUCAGGUUGACUGUUUGAUUUCAGUCCCAUGGGAGGGCCCAUGCCCGUGAAUUCAGCAAAGCUGUGUGUCAUUUCUAGACCCCCAGAAACUAGAAGCUAAGAACAUGCUAAAUUCAUCACUGACACAGUUGGCUGAGAGUAUUUCAGAGCUCUGAGCCGACAUACACAUGACCAUACACAUGAAAAUACUUCCUUUCUAGGCAAAGGGCAGAACCAUUCAACUGCCAUUGUCAUAAGGCAAAGAUCAGUGCUAUGAGGCAAUUGUGAGACAGGUGAGACCUCAAUACGACUUUUCUAGUCGGCCUCAGUCAUUCUGACCUCUGUACCCCAGACUUGCUCUGUGUCCUGUGCCGGCCCCAGGUGGGCUGUCCCCUGUACCUCACCAGAGCUGGUCCUUUAUCCUCAGCUGCCAGCCACAGUGUCAGCAGGCCCACACCACUAAAAACUGUGUUGUGCGUGAUUAUUAUUCAUUAUUGAUAAUAAUAGUAUAUGCAGUAGUGUAUUUACAGUACUGCUACAAUGUGUGGCUUUCUGCAUCAGCACCUGACCAGUGAGCAAUGGAAAGUUUCCACAGAUGCAGAACACCAGCCGCUGCCCUGUGCUCCUCCUCACCAUCUGUCACACGACCACGGACUUCCGCAUGCCAGCCUCACAUCACUUGGGCACAUGGCAAACAGAAGCAAAGAUCUGAAACUCAUUACUUGCUGGGUGCUUGGCAACGCAGUAUGCCCACACCUAUCUGAAAGGAAGUGAUGUGCCAGUCCCCUGGGGAAGUGUGGAUGUCUUCCCUCUAAGCCUGUGAGUCACCAGGAGGAUCUUCAGUCUGACUCACCCCCCACCCCCACCCCAUGCUUGGGGAACCAAGCUGGAAAGAAAGAGCAGGAGCACUUUCAGUGAUAAUAAGUGUGUCCCUAUAGCCAGCUCCUCCAUCUGUGCUUCCAGCUUCGGUCUCCUGGAACACACAGAGGUUCUGCUGAACACAGUUAAGUCUAGCCAAGGCCAAGGUGCAGUCAGCCAUUGCAGAUGGGAUCGUCAAGGACAUGAAAGUGUGGCUCGGAGAGAAGACAGACACUGAGAACCACUCCUGAUCUGUGCCCUUUGUUUCUGGCUUAAGGGCAAAAGGUGACAGGUACAAUGAAGAUGAAUUCACUGUGGAGGAAAGAAAGGAAGUGUUUCAGGUGCAGGGCUCCGCGGAGCUAAGAGGACACAGUGGCUUCCUUACCGGGGCUGAUCGACAAAUCUGGUGAAUGUUUAAUUUUUUUAAAAAACUCACUGCAGGGGCUGGGGAUUUAGCUCAGCGGCAUAAGCGCCUGCCUUGCAAGCAGGCAGUCAUGAGUUCAAUCCCUGGUACCGAUAAAAACGAAAAAGAAAAAAAAAAAAAACUCACUGAAGUAAAAGGCACAUUGCCAAGAAUCAUGGGAUGAGUGUUUGAAGUGAGAUGGAGCACUGUAAGGGACAUCAAUGGUAAUACAUCUUUUCCUAUGAUAUGAAUUUUUAAAUUUAAACAUUCACUGCAUUUGUGAUCACCCCUGUUUACAGUCAUGUCUGUCAAAUAAAAAAAUAUCAGUGUGUCCUCAUCCACCUCA